Molecule: transfer RNA, 68 nt
Filed under: Syrphidae sp. MT-2014
Lineage: Eukaryota; Metazoa; Arthropoda; Insecta; Diptera; Syrphidae
Also listed under: 1 other name
Description: tRNA-Ser
Source: RNAcentral
AGUUAAUGAACUUGAACAAGUAUAUGUUUUGAAAACAUAAAAUAGAAAUUUUAAUUUUCUAUUAACUU